Molecule: ribosomal RNA, 603 nt
Filed under: Aspergillus terreus
Lineage: Eukaryota; Fungi; Ascomycota; Eurotiomycetes; Eurotiales; Aspergillaceae
Description: partial 18S ribosomal RNA
Rfam family: 5.8S ribosomal RNA (bases 244-398)
Source: RNAcentral
UUUGGGAAGUAAAAAGUGUAACAAGGUUCCGUAGGUGAACCUGCGGAAGGAUCAUUACCGAGUGCGGGUCUUUAUGGCCCAACCUCCCACCCGUGACUAUGUACCUGUUGCUUCGGCGGGCCCGCCAGCGUUGCUGCCCCCCGGGGGGCGUCUUGCCCCCGGGCCCGUGCCCGCCGGAGACCCCCAACAUGGACCCUGUUUUGAAAGCUUGCAGUCUGAGUGUGAUUCUUUGCAAUCAGUUAAAACUUUCAACAAUGGAUCUCUUGGUUCCGGCAUCGGAUGAAGAACGCAGCGAAAUGCGAUAACUAAUGUGAAUUGCAGAAUUCAGUGAAUCAUCGAGUCUUUGAACGCACAUUGCGCCCCCUGGUAUUCCGGGGGGCAUGCCUGUCCGAGCGUCAUUGCUGCCCUCAAGCCCGGCUUGUGUGUUGGGCCCUCGUCCCCCGGCUCCCGGGGGACGGGCCCGAAAGGCAGCGGCGGCACCGCGUCCGGUCCUCGAGCGUAUGGGGCUUCGUCUUCCGCUCUGUAGGCCCGGCCGGCGCCCGCCGACGCAUUUUUUUGCAACUUGUUUUUUUUUCCAGGUUGACCUCGGAUCAGGACGACCAG